UACGUAGGGAGCAAGCGUUGUCCGGAAUCAUUGGGCGUAAAGAGCGUGUAGGCGGCCAGGUAGGUCGGUUGUGAAAACUGGAGGCUCAACCUUCAGAGGUCGACCGAAACCAUCUGGCUAGAGUCCGGGAGAGGAGAGUGGAAUUCCUGGUGUAGCGGUGAAAUGCGCAGAUAUCAGGAAGAACACCCGUGGCGAAAGCGGCUCUCUGGAACGGUACUGACGCUGAGACGCGAAAGCGUGGGGAGCAAACAGG
This 253-nucleotide ribosomal RNA is filed under the name uncultured bacterium. Its description in RNAcentral is "partial 16S ribosomal RNA". It matches the Rfam family "Bacterial small subunit ribosomal RNA", at positions 524 to 776 of the family's 1533-position model. The record is from RNAcentral.